CCUACGGGAGGCAGCAGUGAGGAAUAUUGGUCAAUGGGCGCAAGCCUGAACCAGCCAAGUCGCGUGAGGGAUGACGGUCCUAUGGAUUGUAAACCUCUUUUGUCGGGGAGCAAGGCCCGCCACGUGUGGCGGGAAGGAGAGUACCCGAAGAAAAGGCAUCGGCUAACUCCGUGCCAGCAGCCGCGGUAAUACGGAGGAUGCGAGCGUUAUCCGGCUUUAUUGGGUUUAAAGGGUGCGUAGGCGGAAGGUUAAGUCAGCGGUAAAAUGUCGGUGCUCAACACCGGCCUGCCGUUGAAACUGGUCUUCUUGAGUGAGCGAGAAGUAUGCGGAAUGCGUGGUGUAGCGGUGAAAUGCAUAGAUAUCACGCAGAACUCCGAUUGCGAAGGCAGCAUACCGGCGCUCAACUGACGCUGAGGCACGAAAGCGUGGGGAUCGAACAGGAUUAGAUACCCUGGUAGUC
Molecule: ribosomal RNA, 460 nt
Filed under: uncultured bacterium
Lineage: Bacteria
Description: partial 16S ribosomal RNA
Rfam family: Bacterial small subunit ribosomal RNA
Source: RNAcentral